GCCAGUGUGGUUUAUUGGUUUGAGCACUGGACUAUGACUCUGCAGACCAGGGUUGGAAUCCCAGGUUGGCC
This 71-nucleotide transfer RNA is filed under the name Phrynosoma platyrhinos (Desert horned lizard). Its description in RNAcentral is "tRNA-OTHER". The record is from RNAcentral. Lineage: Eukaryota; Metazoa; Chordata; Lepidosauria; Squamata; Phrynosomatidae.